Long non-coding RNA from Juglans microcarpa x Juglans regia, 117 nucleotides. RefSeq lists it as uncharacterized. The transcript has 3 exons. The record is from RefSeq and is a predicted model, not a curated record. Lineage: Eukaryota; Viridiplantae; Streptophyta; Magnoliopsida; Fagales; Juglandaceae.
AGCAGCUUUACUCUCCCAAUCUGCCACCUAAUCAUGAACUUCAUGCAUGAACGAGUAGUUUCCAGCAUAUAAAUUAUACUGAGAUUAGUUCCAGAGCACUGCAGCUACCAAGACCAA